UUUUUAGUUUAAAAAACACCUACUUUGGAUGUAGGAAAAAUCUAAUUUUAUUAAAAAC
This 58-nucleotide transfer RNA is filed under the name Tetragnatha moua. RNAcentral's name for it is "tRNA-Pro". Lineage: Eukaryota; Metazoa; Arthropoda; Arachnida; Araneae; Tetragnathidae. The record is from RNAcentral.